ACGGGAGGCAGCAGUCGGGAAUAUUGCACAAUGGGGGAAACCCUGAUGCAGUGACGCCGCGUAUAGGAAGAAGGUCUUUGGAUUGUAAACUAUUUUCGACAGGGAAGAAAAAAUGACAGUACCUGUGGAGGAAGCCCCGGCAAACUACGUGCCAGCAGCCGCGGUAAUACGUACGGGGCGAGCGUUAUCCGGAUUUAUUGGGUGUAAAGGGUGCGUAGACGGUUAAGCAAGUUGGUUGUGAAAUCCCCGGGCUCAACUCGGGAACUGCAACCAAAACUGUAUAACUUGAGUGCGGGAGAGGAAAGUGGAAUUCCUAGUGUAGCGGUGAAAUGCGUAGAUAUUAGGAGGAACGCCAGUGGCGAAGGCGACUUUCUGGUCCGUAACUGACGUUGAGGCGCGAAAGUGUGGGGAGCAAACAGGAUUAGAUACCCUGGUA
RNAcentral lists this ribosomal RNA (436 nucleotides) under uncultured Oscillospiraceae bacterium. RNAcentral's name for it is "partial 16S ribosomal RNA". It matches the Rfam family "Bacterial small subunit ribosomal RNA", at positions 341 to 792 of the family's 1533-position model. The record is from RNAcentral. Lineage: Bacteria; Bacillati; Bacillota; Clostridia; Eubacteriales; Oscillospiraceae.